UACGUAGGGCGCAAGCGUUGUCCGGAAUUAUUGGGCGUAAAGAGCUCGUAGGCGGUCUGUCGCGUCUGCCGUGAAAACCCGAGGCUUAACCUCGGGCUGGCGGUGGAUACGGGCAGACUAGAGGUAGGUAGGGGAGAACGGAAUUCCUGGUGUAGCGGUGAAAUGCGCAGAUAUCAGGAGGAACACCAAUGGCGAAGGCAGCUCGCUGGAACGGUACUGACGCUGAGGCGCGAAAGCGUGGGGAGCAAACAGG
RNAcentral lists this ribosomal RNA (253 nucleotides) under uncultured bacterium. RNAcentral's name for it is "partial 16S ribosomal RNA". It matches the Rfam family "Bacterial small subunit ribosomal RNA", at positions 524 to 776 of the family's 1533-position model. The record is from RNAcentral.